GGGGGGGGGGGGCGGGGGGCCGAACACAUGCAAGGCGAGCGGAUGAAGGGGGCUUGCUCCUGGAUUCAGCGGCGGACGGGUGAGUAAUGCCUGGGAAUCUGCCUGGUAGUGGGGGAUAACGUCCGGAAGCGGGCGCUAAUACCGCAUACGUCCUGAGGGAGAAAGGGGGGGAUCUAGGGCCCUAACCCUCCAGACUGGCCCUGGUCGGAAUAGCCAGUUGGUGGGGUAAAGGGCUACCAAGGCGACGAUCCGUAACUGGUCUGAGAGGAUGAUCAGUCACACUGGAACUGAGACACGGUCCAGACUCCUACGGGAGGCAGCAGUGGGGAAUAUUGGACAAUGGGCGAAAGCCUGAUCCAGCCAUGCCGCGUGUGUGAAGAAGGUCUUCGGAUUGUAAAGCACUUUAAGUUGGGAGGAAGGGCAGUAAGUUAAUACCUUGCCGUUUUGACGUUACCAACAGAAUAAGCACCGGCUAACUUCGUG
RNAcentral lists this ribosomal RNA (483 nucleotides) under uncultured bacterium. RNAcentral describes it as "partial 16S ribosomal RNA". It matches the Rfam family "Bacterial small subunit ribosomal RNA", at positions 38 to 507 of the family's 1533-position model. The record is from RNAcentral.